RNAcentral lists this ribosomal RNA (507 nucleotides) under uncultured bacterium. RNAcentral describes it as "bacterial SSU rRNA". It matches the Rfam family "Bacterial small subunit ribosomal RNA", at positions 28 to 526 of the family's 1533-position model. The record is from RNAcentral.
GACGAACGCUGGCGGCGUGGAUUAGGCAUGCAAGUCGAACGGUAUCAUCCUUUCGGGGGUGAGAGAGUGGCGAACUGGUGAGUAACACGUAGGUUAUCUACCCUCAAGACGGGGACAACCCAGGGAAACUUGGGCUAAUACCGGAUGUGAGCAACUUUUUAGUUGUUUGAAAGGUGGCGUAAGCUGUCGCUUGGGGAUGAGCCUGCGUCCUAUUAGUUAGUUGGUGAGGUAACGGCUCACCUAGGCAAUGAUAGGUAGGCGGCCUUAACGGGUGGUCGCCCACACUGGGAUUGAGAUACGGCCCAGACUCCUACGGGAGGCAGCAGUCGAGAAUAGUCUACAAUGGUCGGAAGACUGAUAGUGCGACGCCGCGUGAACGAUGAAUCCCUUCGGGGUUAAAGUUCUUUUAUAUGUGAGCAGUGCUUCUUAUAUUUAACAGUAUGGGGAAGAGAUAUUAGCAUAUGAAUAAGCAAACGGCUAAACUCCGUGCCAGCAGCCGGGUAAUCU